Molecule: ribosomal RNA, 879 nt
Filed under: uncultured bacterium
Lineage: Bacteria
Description: bacterial SSU rRNA
Rfam family: Bacterial small subunit ribosomal RNA
Source: RNAcentral
AGUUUGAUCCUGGCUCGAAUGAACGCUGGCGGCAGGCCUAACACAUGCAAGUCGAACGGAGUUAUAUUGUAGCUUGCUAUGGUAUAACUUAGUGGCAGACGGGUGAGUAAUGUAUAGGAAUCUACCUAGUAGUACGGAAUAAUUGUUGGAAACGGCAACUAAUACCGUAUACGCCCUACGGGGGAAAAAUUUAUUGCUAUUAGAUGAGCCUAUAUUAGAUUAGCUAGUUGGUGGAGUAAUAGCCUACCAAGGCAAUGAUCUAUAGCUGAUCUGAGAGGAUGAUCAGCCACACUGGAACUGAGAUACGGUCCAGACUCCUACGGGAGGCAGCAGUGGGGAAUAUUGGUCAAUGGGCGAAAGCCUGAUCCAGCCAUGCCGCAUGAGUGAAGAAGGCCUUUGGGUUGUAAAGCUCUUUUAGUGAGGAAGAUAAUGACGGUACUCACAGAAGAAGUCCUGGCUAACUCCGUGCCAGCAGCCGCGGUAAUACGGAGAGGGCUAGCGUUAUUCGGAAUUAUUGGGCGUAAAGGGCGCGUAGGCGGAUUAGUAAGUUAAAAGUGAAAUCCCAAGGCUCAACCUUGGAAUUGCUUUUAAAACUGCUAAUCUAGAGAUUGAAAGAGGAUAGAGGAAUUCCUAGUGUAGAGGUGAAAUUCGUAAAUAUUAGGAGGAACACCAGUGGCGAAGGCGUCUAUCUGGUUCAAAUCUGACGCUGAGGCGCGAAGGCGUGGGGAGCAAACAGGAUUAGAUACCCUGGUAGUCCACGCUGUAAACGAUGAAUGUUAAAUAUGGGAAGUUUUACUUUCUGUAUUACAGCUAACGCGUUAAACAUUCCGCCUGGGGACUACGGUCGCAAGAUUAAAACUCAAAGGAAUUGACGGGGAC